Long non-coding RNA from Salvelinus namaycush (lake trout), 705 nucleotides. RefSeq lists it as uncharacterized. The record is from RefSeq and is a predicted model, not a curated record. The transcript is spliced from 6 exons. NCBI's taxonomy places the organism in Eukaryota, Metazoa, Chordata, Actinopteri, Salmoniformes, Salmonidae.
AGUUCAAUGUAACAGCGAUAGGUUUAGGCUACUACAUGAUACUCAAAUUUUCCCAUUACCCAUCAUGAGGUGGCUACAACCUAGCCUCUGAAUGAAAGUUUACAAUAUAGGUGUGCACACAGGUCGAGAGACACAUUUGAGGUGAAAGACAACAGCAUCCAGUACGGCCUUGCACACUCUUGCCUGCAUCUAGCUGAUAUAGGGGGGGAUCAUUAGUCCAACAGUUGCAAACAGGAGUUUCUAUUCGCCAAAUUCAGGUCUGCAGGGUCAUCAGAGUCCAGGUCCAAGUCAGCGGGGUCAUCUACUUCUGGGUUUAACCCUGUGGAAGCCGGGCCUCUUUGGAGCGGAGAGGUCAGGGAGAGGUUAAAGGAAGUUAACCCGCCUCCGGCUCGAAAUCUGCUACCACCCUGAGGAUGCCCACAGCCACAAUGGCUGCGAGUCCCAGGGUUGGAGAUUGUGAUGAGGACGGUCGUCUGGGCGAGUUUGGGCAGCAGAGACCCGCAGGCGUGUGAACAAAAUCAAUUUGCAUAUUUACCAAAGGGCCCCAGGGGACUGGUAGUCUUGACAAAUAGUUCAGGGGCAGCGCUCUGUCUCUCCUUCUCGCCCAUCCAAAUCAGAACUAAUCAAUGAAUUAUAAAGGGUAAAGAAAAAAAGGACCAUACGUCAGGACUACCGGGCAUGAUGACUCCUUGCUGUCCCCAGUCC